GACGAACGCUGGCGGCGUGCUUAACACAUGCCAGUCGAACGGAAAGGCCCUGCUUUUGUGGGGUGCUCGAGUGGCGAACGGGUGAGUACACGUGAGUAACCUGCCCUUGACUUUGGGAUAACUUCAGGAAACUGGGGCUAAUACCGGAUAGGAGCUCCUGCUGCAUGGUGGGGGUUGGAAAGUUUCGGCGGUUGGGGAUGGACUGGCGGCUUAUCAGCUUGUUGGUGGGGUAGUGGCUUACCAAGGCUUUGACGGGUAGCCGGCCUGAGAGGGUGACCGGCCACAUUGGGACUGAGAUACGGCCCAGACUCCUACGGGAGGCAGCAGUGGGGAAUAUUGCACAAUGGGCGGAAGCCUGAUGCAGCAACGCCGCGUGCGGGAUGACGGCCUUCGGGUUGUAAACCGCUUUCGCCUGUGACGAAGCGUGAGUGACGGUAAUGGGUAAAGAAGCACCGGCUAACUACGUG
This 467-nucleotide ribosomal RNA is filed under the name uncultured bacterium. Its description in RNAcentral is "partial 16S ribosomal RNA". It matches the Rfam family "Bacterial small subunit ribosomal RNA", at positions 28 to 507 of the family's 1533-position model. The record is from RNAcentral.